Molecule: small RNA, 685 nt
Filed under: Pongo abelii (Sumatran orangutan)
Lineage: Eukaryota; Metazoa; Chordata; Mammalia; Primates; Hominidae
Description: processed transcript
Source: RNAcentral
ACACCCGCGUCCGCACACUAAGGGCACCACCGCUCUCCCACCUCUGCGCUGUCAGAUGUCAGGCGCGGAGGUGCUCUGGGCACCGAGGUGCUGGCGAACCAAACAAGUGUCACCCUGGACGUCUGCCCCCACUCCGAGAGAGCGGGCGGGACGGCCACAGGCUUGAUUGCUGUAAGUUGAACACGUCAGUGGCAGGGGCACCAGCUGCACAACCCUAGGAGCCACCAAACACAGUGUAUUCUAUAUAAAUGUUGCUGCCAGGAACCCCAGUUCAAACUACAAUACACUGAGAGAUGGUUGGUACCAUGUGGAAGGUGAUUGUUUCGCUAGUCCUGUUGAUGCCUGGCCCCUGUGAUGGGCUAUUUCGCUCCCUAUACAGAAGUGUUUCCAUGCCACCUAAUGGAGACUCAGGACAGCCAUUAUUUCUCACCCCUUACAUUGAAGCUGGGAAGAAGAGAAUUGAGUUUGGUCAGUCCUUUCCUAGGACUGAACAUGAGGAGUUAUGCCGGCUUCCUCACCGUGAAUAAGACUUACAACAGCAACCUCUUCUUCUGGUUCUUCCCGGCUCAGAUACAGCCAGAAGAUGCCCCAGUAGUUCUCUGGCUACAAGGUGGGCCGGGAGUUUCAUCCAUGUUUGGACUCUUUGUGGAACAUGGGCCUUAUGUUGUCACAAGUAACAUGACCU